Molecule: ribosomal RNA, 520 nt
Filed under: uncultured Glomus
Lineage: Eukaryota; Fungi; Glomeromycota; Glomeromycetes; Glomerales; Glomeraceae
Description: SSU rRNA
Rfam family: Eukaryotic small subunit ribosomal RNA
Source: RNAcentral
AGCAGCCGCGGUAAUUCCAGCUCCAAUAGCGUAUAUUAAAGUUGUUGCAGUUAAAAAGCUCGUAGUUGAAUUUCGAGAUCGGCUUACUGGUCGUGCUUUUGUACGUACUGGUAUAAUCGGUUUCUCCUUUCUGACGAACUAUAAUGCCAUUAAUUUGGUGUUAUAGGGAAUCAGGACUGUUACUUUGAAAAAUUAGAGUGUUUAAAGCAGGCUCACGCUUGAAUACAUUAGCAUGGAAUAACGGAAUAGGACGUUUGAUUCUAUUUUGUUGGUUUCUAGGAUCGACGUAAUGAUUAAUAGGGAUAGUUGGGGGCAUUAGUAUUCAAUUGUCAGAGGUGAAAUUCUUGGAUUUAUUGAAGACUAACUACUGCGAAAGCAUUUGCCAAGGAUGUUUUCAUUAAUCAAGAACGAAAGUUAGGGGAUCGAAGACGAUCAGAUACCGUCGUAGUCUUAACCAUAAACUAUGCCGACUAGGGAUCGGAUGAUGUUAAUUUUUAAUGACUCAUUCGGCGCCUUACGG